AUUCCCCUCACGUGUGGCCUUAAAGAGUUCUAUAUUCUUUUGCUAAGUCAGACUUGGCUUUUACCAGUUUGUUAGCGAUUUCAGCUAAAAUUUUCUUACUCGUAUCUGACAGUGUCUGCCUCAGAGCUCUGUCCAGUUGCUCCAAGCUUUACUGGUUGCACUCUAGGUCUGCUGCACAUCUACACGGAUAUCACCUGGAGAGGAAGAUCAGCCCUGGGCUAACUGCUGCCAAUCCUCCUCUUUUUGCUGAGGAAGAUGGGCCCUGAGCUAACAUCCGUGCCCAUCUUCCUCUACUUUAUGUGUGGGAUGCCUACCACUGCAUGGCGUGCCAAGUGGUGCCAUGUCCACACUUGGGUUCCGAACCAGCAAACCCUGGGCCGCUGAAGCGGAACGUGCACACUUAACCACUGACCCACCGGGCCGGCCCCUCACAAUCACUUAUUCUGGAGAACCCCAGAUGCUCAGUCAUGAAGACACUUAUCCAGAGUCCUGUGUGGUGAGGAACUGAGGCGUUCAUCCAGUGAGGAAUUGAGGAUUCCUACUAACAGCCAUGUGAGUGAACUUGAAAGUGAGUGAAUCCUCCAACUUCUCAAUCAGUCCUUCAGAUGACUGCAGUCCUGGCUGACAUCUUGCCUGUAACCUCAUGAAAGACCUUGAGCUACACUCGCCCAGCUAAGCUUCUCCAAAAUUCCUGAGUCAAAGAAACUGUAAGAUAAU
RNAcentral lists this long non-coding RNA (717 nucleotides) under Equus caballus (horse). RNAcentral describes it as "lncRNA (ENSECAG00000045472.1)". Lineage: Eukaryota; Metazoa; Chordata; Mammalia; Perissodactyla; Equidae. The record is from RNAcentral.